This 468-nucleotide ribosomal RNA is filed under the name uncultured bacterium. Its description in RNAcentral is "partial 16S ribosomal RNA". It matches the Rfam family "Bacterial small subunit ribosomal RNA", at positions 28 to 507 of the family's 1533-position model. The record is from RNAcentral.
GACGAACGCUGGCGGCGUGCUUAACACAUGCAAGUCGAACGGAAAGGCCCUGCAUUUGUGGGGUGCUCGAGUGGCGAACGGGUGAGUAACACGUGAGUAACCUGCCCUUGACUUUGGGAUAACUUCAGGAAACUGGGGCUAAUACCGGAUAGGAGCUCCUGCUGCAUGGUGGGGGUUGGAAAGUUUCGGUGGUUGGGGAUGGACUCGCGGCUUAUCAGCUUGUUGGUGGGGUAGUGGCUUACCAAGGCUUUGACGGGUAGCCGGCCUGAGAGGGUGACCGGCCACAUUGGGACUGAGAUACGGCCCAGACUCCUACGGGAGGCAGCAGUGGGGAAUAUUGCACAAUGGGCGGAAGCCUGAUGCAGCAACGCCGCGUGCUGGAUGACGGCCUUCGGGUUGUAAACCGCUUUCGCCUGUGACGAAGCGUGAGUGACGGUAAUGGGUAAAGAAGCACCGGCUAACUACGUG